UGAUCCAGCCAUGCCGCGUGUGUGAAGAAGGCCUUUUGGUUGUAAAGCACUUUAAGCAGUGAAGAAGACUCCAUGGUUAAUACCCAUGGACGAUGACAUUAGCUGCAGAAUAAGCACCGGCUAACUCUGUGCCAGCAGCCGCGGUAAUACAGAGGGUGCAAGCGUUAAUCGGAAUUACUGGGCGUAAAGCGAGCGUAGGUGGCUUGAUAAGUCAGAUGUGAAAGCCCCGGGCUUAACCUGGGAACGGCAUCUGAUACUGUUAGGCUAGAGUAGGUGAGAGGAAGGUAGAAUUCCAGGUGUAGCGGUGAAAUGCGUAGAGAUCUGGAGGAAUACCGAUGGCGAAGGCAGCCUUCUGGCAUCAUACUGACACUGAGGUUCGAAAGCGUGGGUAGCAAACAGGAUUAGAUACCCUGGUAGUCCACGCCGUAAACGAUGUCUACUAGUCGUUGGGUCCCUUGAGGACUUAGUGACGCAGCUAACGCAAUAAGUAGACCGCCUGGGGAGUACGGCCGCAAGGUUAAAACUCAAAUGAAUUGACGGGGGCCCGCACAAGCGGUGGAGCAUGUGGUUUAAUUCGAUGCAACGCGAAGAACCUUACCUGGUCUUGACAUAUCUAGAAUCCUGCAGAGAUGCGGGAGUGCCUUCGGGAAUUAGAAUACAGGUGCUGCAUGGCUGUCGUCAGCUCGUGUCGUGAGAUGUUGGGUUAAGUCCCGCAACGAGCGCAACCCUUGUCCUUAGUUACCAGCGGUUUGGCCGGGAACUCUAAAGAUACUGCCAGUGACAAACUGGAGGAAGGCGGGGACGACGUCAAGUCAUCAUGGCCCUUACGACCAGGGCUACACACGUGCUACAAUGGU
RNAcentral lists this ribosomal RNA (857 nucleotides) under Psychrobacter sp. HTYW13. RNAcentral's name for it is "bacterial SSU rRNA". It matches the Rfam family "Bacterial small subunit ribosomal RNA", at positions 384 to 1234 of the family's 1533-position model. The record is from RNAcentral. Lineage: Bacteria; Pseudomonadati; Pseudomonadota; Gammaproteobacteria; Moraxellales; Moraxellaceae.